RNAcentral lists this ribosomal RNA (468 nucleotides) under uncultured bacterium. Its description in RNAcentral is "partial 16S ribosomal RNA". It matches the Rfam family "Bacterial small subunit ribosomal RNA", at positions 28 to 507 of the family's 1533-position model. The record is from RNAcentral.
GACGAACGCUGGCGGCGUGCUUAACACAUGCAAGUCGAACGGAAAGGCCCUGCUUUUUUGUGGUGCUAGAGUGGCGAACGGGUGAGUAACACGUGAGUAACCUUCCCUGUACUUUGUGAUAACUUCAGGAAACUGGUGCUAAUACCUGAUAGGAGCUGGUGCUGCAUGGUGGGGGUUGGAAAGUUUCGGCGGUUGGGGAUGGACUCGCGGCUUAUCAGCUUGUUGGUGGGGUAGUGGCUUACCAAGGCUUUGACGGGUAGCCGGCCUGAGAGGGUGAACGGCCACAUUGGGACUGAGAUACGGCCCAGACUCCUACGGUAGGCAGCAGUGGGGAAUAUUGCACAAUGGGCGGAAGCCUGAUGAAGCAACGCCGCGUGCGGGAUGAAGGCCUUCGUGUUGUAAACCGCUUUAGCCUGUGACGAAGCGUGAGUGACGGUAAUGGCUAAAGAAGCACCGGCUAACUACGUG